UCUCCUCCUUUCUCUCCAUGUUUUUCUCCUCUAUCUUCUCCUUAUUUAUCUCUAUCCUUUCUUCCUCUAUCUUCUCCUCCUUUCUCUCCAUGUUUUUCUCCUCUAUCUUCUCUUUAUAUAUCUCUAUCUUUUCCUUAUUUCUCUCCAUUUUUUUCUCCUCUAUCUUCUCCUCAGCAACAACCUUUUCUGUGUCUAUCUCUUCUAUCUUUUUCACCUUUCUUUCUAUCUUUUCCCCAUCAACAACCUCAUCAAUUGAUGUCUCCAAAUUCCUGAAGGUAACUUCAUAGCUCUUGGAAUCGUACUUCUCCAGAAAUUUGUCAAAAUUUUCUUUAGAUCUUUUGAGUUGUUCCCCAAAAUCAGCUACCUUUUGGCAUAGUUGUUGAUCAUACUCCCAC
Molecule: long non-coding RNA, 395 nt
Filed under: Vigna radiata
Lineage: Eukaryota; Viridiplantae; Streptophyta; Magnoliopsida; Fabales; Fabaceae
Description: long non-coding RNA (VRAD_LNC008675)
Source: RNAcentral